This 27-nucleotide small RNA is filed under the name Bombyx mori (domestic silkworm). Its description in RNAcentral is "ovarian small RNA-10892". Lineage: Eukaryota; Metazoa; Arthropoda; Insecta; Lepidoptera; Bombycidae. The record is from RNAcentral.
AAUUUGAAGGUUCAACGGCAGCUUGAU